CUUGAUGAAGUCGGUGCUUCUGAUGCGACCCCAGGUCAGGCGGGAUUACCC
RNAcentral lists this ribosomal RNA (51 nucleotides) under Elatostema stewardii. RNAcentral's name for it is "partial 28S ribosomal RNA". Lineage: Eukaryota; Viridiplantae; Streptophyta; Magnoliopsida; Rosales; Urticaceae. The record is from RNAcentral.